This is a long non-coding RNA of Asparagus officinalis (garden asparagus), 884 nucleotides long. RefSeq lists it as uncharacterized. The transcript has 7 exons. Lineage: Eukaryota; Viridiplantae; Streptophyta; Magnoliopsida; Asparagales; Asparagaceae. The record is from RefSeq and is a predicted model, not a curated record.
CACCGCCCCAGCGCCGGCGUCGCCCCAGCACCGCCACAUCACCGCCCCAGCCCAUCGUCACCCCAGGCUCGACAGUAAAACUCAGGCACUCCGUUAGAGGGAGCGACCAAUGGAGGAAUAACUGAGAUCGCUUCUCCAAGAUCUUGAAACCCUCAAGCGAUCUGUACCCAAUCCCGAUCAAAAUGAUUCCAUCAACAAGUUGCAACAAAGAGUACAUAAAAUCAUGAGCAUGUCGAAAUCGGGGUCCGCCCGGCGAUCGAAAGUCAAGGAUAUGAGUGCCGAGGAGGUGGAUAGCAACCCCUAUAGUAGACUAAUGGCACUUCAACGAAUGGGUAUUGUGCAGAACUAUGAAAGGAUACGAGAUUUCUUGGUCACGAUAGUAUGGAGUUGGCGAACAUGAAUAGGCUUUUCUUUCGUUCAGACCAGGCUGGCAUGACCAAGACAGAUUCUGUUGUUCAGACUCUUUCAGACAUUAACCCUGAUGUUGUACUAGAAUGUUGUAGACAUUGACAGUGAGAAGACAUCUGCUGCAAGCAGAAGUUCCGAUGCCCUUCCAGAAGGUCUCAUGCAUGAGCUUCCGAGCUCCGAUAGACUUCAAGAAUCACCAUUUAGUCCAGGAGACCGUCACCAUCAGUGAUGAUCUUGAGGAUCUCCAACGGCAACUUGAUGCCCUCAAUGCAGCUUGACUUUACCCAAAGACUUAACAUUACCCUGUAUCAUGAGAAACAAUGUGUUAAAUAACUUUUAAGAUAUUUUUGGGAUGGUAAAACUCAAGAAGCAGUUAUUUAACACCCUUUUGUUAUUAGUAUUAAAUAUUUGAGGAUGGUGGAAUUUUAUUUAUUAAUGUUAUUAAUGAAUGGAGUUUUUAUUUUCUCUUUUAUUAA